RNAcentral lists this unclassified non-coding RNA (335 nucleotides) under soil metagenome. Its description in RNAcentral is "partial contains 5.8S ribosomal RNA, internal transcribed spacer 2, and large subunit ribosomal RNA". The stretch from base 1 to 120 matches the Rfam family "5.8S ribosomal RNA", at positions 35 to 154 of the family's 154-position model. The record is from RNAcentral.
GAUGAAGAACGCAGCGAAAUGCGAUAAGUAGUGUGAAUUGCAGAAUUCAGUGAAUCAUCGAAUCUUUGAACGCACAUUGCGCCCCUUGGUAUUCCAUGGGGCAUGCCUGUUCGAGCGUCAUUUGUACCUUCAAGCUCUGCUUGGUGUUGGGUGUUUGUCCUUGCUCUAGUGGCGGGACUCGCCUUAAAGUAAUUGGCAGCCAGUGUUUUGGUUUUGAAGCGCAGCACAAGUCGCGAUUCAAGUCUAUACGCUAGUUUCCACAAGUCUUUUAUCACUUUUGACCUCGGAUCAGGUAGGGAUACACGCUGAACUUAAGCAUAUCAAUAAGCGGAGGA